Non-coding RNA from Misgurnus anguillicaudatus (oriental weatherfish), 1035 nucleotides. NCBI's taxonomy places the organism in Eukaryota, Metazoa, Chordata, Actinopteri, Cypriniformes, Cobitidae. The record is from RefSeq and is a predicted model, not a curated record.
UGACAAUGUGGUUUGGAACAGACUUGGUGAAGAACAUGGAAACAUCUCUUAAUAAAAUGGCCCCAAACAUCAUCAGGAGUGCAAAAGAAGGAAGUAAAAACAUCUCUACGCCAAUCUCAUUGGAGAGGAAACCACAGAAGGUCUGGUGAGGAAUGCUGCACUUAUGUUAUUGCCAGCAUUAUUUCAAGAAAAUCCCAGCUUCCUUUACUGUGUAAAUAGUGAACCCAAAGGUCCCACACCAACCAUAGUGUUCAACGGCUCUCCUGAUCUUUUCAAAUCUGAAUGUAUCAACUUUAUAAUGGACAAUGUGAACUUAAUAUGUGGAAGACAUUGACAUCACAGGCUGUGGAAUGACUGUGUCACAGGUCGGAGAAGCAGACCGCCCCUGUCGCGGAUCACGCUCCUCCUAGUUCCACCUCGAGGAGGUCCCAAAGCACCCCAAUGACCAGACAAACCAGAGGGGGAGUAUUACGGGGCCAGGGACGUUGGAGGGGUUUCCACGUGACUCCAGCUGGAACACCGCUACAGAGCGUAUCUGGGUGGGUUGGGCACACACCAUUGCGGCGGCCCCUGAUGGCAUCCACAAGGGUCCAAGACCCUCCUAAGCUCCUAGCCAUAGCAGAACUACGUAUUUCAGCACCCGAAGGACUAACAACCCAGCCGGCAUCUGCAGCGUAUAUCCAACGCGAUCAAACUUCACUCUGACAAGUAACUUCCUAUACACAACCACGCCGUCCUUUCGCCCGGACCAGCCCCGCACUCUUUCCGCCCGCUACCUAGCGGUCGCCGGAUCAGCAGAGCCUGCGGACUCUUCGGAGGCUGGUCUUCGUUGUGCUGCCCAAGGCGGAAGUUGACUCGCCCGAAAAUCGACCCUUCCAGUAACUUCUACCUUCUCUCUUUAUAUCCUCCUCCCAGGCGUGGCUCGCCCAACCAUCGCUCGCCACGUCACUCACACAGCUGUGCCUUGUUUCAGCGAGUGCGGGGAUUCCCGGGGAACCCUGAAGUGCCGGUGUCUGUAAAAACUGGUCCAGGCGG